AGGAUGGGGUGGCUAGUAUUUUACAAUGACAAAAACAAGAUGAAAAGAAGAAAAAAAACAUGUAACAAAGAAAACAUAAAGAAUAAGGUGAAGGAGGGACAAAGUACAUGGUCACCCUUGGGGUGGUGCGUGACAAUAGGUGGUUGUUAGUGUAAAGGAGAUACGGCGUGGUGACUUCGCAAGAAGAGAGUGAUAGGGGAAAUUGACGAAGCUGCAAGUUCUUCCGCCGCCUCAACUUCCAGCGCACUGGAAGGCCGAGGGCGAUGGGGAUUGCUUAUCAUUUUAUUAAUUCAUUCGUUCAUUAUAUAUCAUUUUGUAUUAUCUCCUUUGAUGUGGUUAUAAUUAUAAUUUCAUGAGAUGAAAUGAAAUCAGUAUUAAUAUUUAUUAGUUUUUGCUA
Non-coding RNA from Cicer arietinum (chickpea), 397 nucleotides. The record is from RefSeq and is a predicted model, not a curated record. Lineage: Eukaryota; Viridiplantae; Streptophyta; Magnoliopsida; Fabales; Fabaceae.